GGCUGGUUAGCUCAGCUGGUUAGGGCGUGGUGCUAGUAGUGCCAAGGUCAUGGGUUCAAUCCCCAUACAGGCCA
Molecule: transfer RNA, 74 nt
Filed under: Poecilia formosa (Amazon molly)
Lineage: Eukaryota; Metazoa; Chordata; Actinopteri; Cyprinodontiformes; Poeciliidae
Rfam family: tRNA
About the family: Transfer RNA (tRNA) molecules are approximately 80 nucleotides in length. Their secondary structure includes four short double-helical elements and three loops (D, anti-codon, and T loops).
Source: Rfam by way of RNAcentral